This 449-nucleotide ribosomal RNA is filed under the name uncultured bacterium. Its description in RNAcentral is "partial 16S ribosomal RNA". It matches the Rfam family "Bacterial small subunit ribosomal RNA", at positions 29 to 523 of the family's 1533-position model. The record is from RNAcentral.
AACGAACGCUGGCGGCAUGCCUAACACAUGCAAGUCGAACGAAGGCUUCGGCCUUAGUGGCGCACGGGUGAGUAACGCGUGGGAAACUGCCUAUUGGUGGGGAAUAACGACGGGAAACUGUCGCUAAUACCGCAUAAGACCUUCGGGGGAAAGAUUUAUCGCCGAUAGAUGUGCCCGCGUCCGAUUAGCUAGUUGGUGAGGUAAUGGCUCACCAAGGCGACGAUCGGUAGCUGGUCUGAGAGGAUGAUCGGCCACACUGGGACUGAGACACGGCCCAGACUCCUACGGGAGGCAGCAGUGGGGAAUAUUGGACAAUGGGCGAAAGCCUGAUCCAGCAAUGCCGCGUGGGUGAUGAAGGCCUUAGGGUUGUAAAGCUCUUUCGGGUGGGACGAUGAUGACGGUACCACCAGAAGAAGCCCCGGCUAACUUCGUGCCAGCCGCCGCCGUAA